GACGAACGCUGGCGGCGUGCUUAACACAUGCAAGUCGAGCGGUAGGGCCCUUUCGGGGGUACACGAGCGGCGAACGGGUGAGUAACACGUGGGUGACCUGCCCUCAGCUCUGGGAUAAGCCUGGGAAACUGGGUCUAAUACUGGAUAUGACUCCACGGUGCAUGUCGUGGGGUGGAAAGCCUUGUGCGGCUGAGGAUGGGCCCGCGGCCUAUCAGCUUGUUGGUGGGGUGANGGCCUACCAAGGCGACGACGGGUAGCCGGCCUGAGAGGGCGACCGGCCACACUGGGACUGAGACACGGCCCAGACUCCUACGGGAGGCAGCAGUGGGGAAUCUUGCGCAAUGGGCGAAAGCCUGACGCAGCGACGCCGCGUGAGGGAUGACGGCCU
This 388-nucleotide ribosomal RNA is filed under the name uncultured bacterium. RNAcentral describes it as "bacterial SSU rRNA". It matches the Rfam family "Bacterial small subunit ribosomal RNA", at positions 28 to 417 of the family's 1533-position model. The record is from RNAcentral.